Molecule: ribosomal RNA, 185 nt
Filed under: Salmonella enterica subsp. enterica serovar Infantis
Lineage: Bacteria; Pseudomonadati; Pseudomonadota; Gammaproteobacteria; Enterobacterales; Enterobacteriaceae
Also listed under: 7 other names
Description: partial 16S ribosomal RNA
Rfam family: Bacterial small subunit ribosomal RNA
Source: RNAcentral
AAAUUGAAGAGUUUGAUCAUGGCUCAGAUUGAACGCUGGCGGCAGGCCUAACACAUGCAAGUCGAACGGUAGCACAGAGAGCUUGCUCUCGGGUGACGAGUGGCGGACGGGUGAGUAAUGUCUGGGAAACUGCCUGAUGGAGGGGGAUAACUACUGGAAACGGUGGCUAAUACCGCAUAACGUCG